This 1792-nucleotide ribosomal RNA is filed under the name uncultured eukaryote. RNAcentral's name for it is "SSU rRNA". It matches the Rfam family "Eukaryotic small subunit ribosomal RNA". The record is from RNAcentral.
AACCUGGUUGAUCCUGCCAGUAGUCAUAUGCUUGUCUUAAAGAUUAAGCCAUGCAUGUCUAAGUAUAAGCAUUUAUACCGCGAGACUGCGAACGGCUCAUUAAAACAGUUAUGGUUUAUUUGAUGGUUCCUUUGCUACUUGGAUAACCGUAGUAAUUCUAGAGCUAAUACAUGCACGAAGGGACGACUCACGAAGUCCUGUAUUUAUUAGAUUAAAGCCAACCACCUCCGGGUGUUCGUGGUGAAUCAUAGUAACUUCUCGGAUCGCCGGCUCUACGCCAGCGACGUGUCAUUCAAAUUUCUGCCCUAUCAGCUUUAGAUGGUAGGAUAUGGGCCUACCAUGGCGGUGACGGGUAACGGAGAAUUAGGGUUCGAUUCCGGAGAGGGAGCCUGAGAAACGGCUACCACUUCUAAGGAAGGCAGCAGGCGCGCAAAUUACCCAAUCCUGACUCAGGGAGGUAGUGACAAGAAAUAACAAUAAACCGGCUUAUGCCGGUUUAAUUGGAAUGGGUACAAUUUAAACAUCUUAACGAGGAACAAUUGGAGGGCAAGUCUGGUGCCAGCAGCCGCGGUAAUUCCAGCUCCAAUAGCGUAUACUAAAGUUGUUGCGGUUAAAAAGCUCGUAGUUGGAUUUCUGUCGAGGGCGGCCGGUCCGCACUAUGUGCGUGUAUCUGGUUCGGUCUUGGCAUCCUCUUGGGGAUCGUUCGUGUGCUUGAUUGCAUGCGACGGAAUUCAAGACUUUUACUUUGAGGAAAUUAGAGUGUUCACGGCAAGCUAUCGCUUUGAAUACAUUAGCAUGGAAUAAUGAUAAAGGACUUCGGUUCUAUUUUGUUGGUGUUCGGGACUGAAGUAAUGAUUGAUAGGGACAGUUGGGGCGGUCCGUAUUCCAAAGCGAGAGGUGAAAUUCUUAGACCUUCGGAAGACGAACAGCUGCGAAAGCGUUCCGCAAGGAUGUUCCCUUUGAUCAAGAACGAAAGUUGGGGGAUCGAAGACGAUCAGAUACCGUCGUAGUCUCAACUAUAAACUAUACCAGCUAGGGAUCGGCCAACGUUACUUUAUCCGACUUGGUCGGCACCUUAUGAGAAAUCAAAGCAUCUGGGUUCCGGGGGGAGUAUGGUCGCAAGGCUGAAACUUAAAGGAAUUGACGGGAGGGCACCACCAGGAGUGGAGCCUGUGGCUUAAUUUGAUUCAACACGGGAAAACUUACCAGGUCCGGACAUAGUAAGGAUUGACAGAUUGAAGCUCUUUCUUGAUUCUAUGGGUGGUGGUGCAUGGCCGUUCUUAGUUGGUGGAGUGAUUUGUCUGGUUAAUUCCGUUAACGAACGAGACCUCAGCCUGCUAAAUAGUUAGCUCGAUCAUUGAUCGUGUUACACUUCUUAGAGGGACUACUUUGGGUUUACCAAGAGGAAGCAUGAGGCAAUAACAGGCCUGUGAUGCCCUUAGAUGUUCUGGGCCGCACACGGGCUACACUGGUGGCAUCAACAAGCAUGUAUCCUAGACCGACAGGUCUGGGUAAUCUUUUAAAUGUCACCGUGCUUGGGAUAGAAGGUUGCAAUUGUCCUUCUUCAACGAGGAAUUCCUAGUAAACGUAAGUCAUCAGCUUACAUUGAUUACGUCCCUGCCCUUUGUACACACCGCCCGUCGCUCCUACCGAUUGGAUGAUUCGGUAAGCACUCAGGACCGGAAUUGUCUUACUUCUUGUUCGAUAAUAUACGGGAAUGUGUUCAAACCUAAUCAUCUAGAGGAAGGAGAAGUCGUAACAAGGUUUCCGUAGGUGAACCUGCAGAAGGAUC